This 2400-nucleotide long non-coding RNA is filed under the name Salmo salar (Atlantic salmon). Its description in RNAcentral is "lncRNA (ENSSSAG00000097480.1, ENSSSAG00000104295.1)". Lineage: Eukaryota; Metazoa; Chordata; Actinopteri; Salmoniformes; Salmonidae. The record is from RNAcentral.
CAUACAAGUUUGUUAUGAAGGCACAUGAAAGUUCACAUGCUCGAGAAGGCAUUUCUGCCCCAAAACAAAUUUGAUUAAAAAAAGUUUUUACGUUCAAAUGGCUCUCUGGUGAAGUCAUGACUUGCGACAUACGCCUAGUUUCCUGAAUCGGGUCACAUAUUGUUUCAGUGUAUCUCAACAGUAUUUCAGUCUGUGAUUCCAAUUGCCUCAUUCCAUCCCUCUCCUCUCCCCUGCCACUCUUUUCCAGGUCAUUGCUGUGAAAGUGUUCUCAGUCAACUUAUCUUGUGAAGUAAGGGUUAAAUAAAUACAUACAUUUUGGAGACAGAGCCGUCUAGGAGCAGACAGCUGUGAAACGCGUCAGUCUCUCUGUGUGGGUCAUUCUUACUGAGAGGCCCUUAACCCAAUCAGUGUGCAGGGGUCAACUUUGCCUUGCAAAAUACUGAGUAGGGUUGUGACAGACAAGCUUGGCAAUAACAUUUAACAGCCAUUUCUGCUCAUGAAAGUUCUGUUCUCAUUUCACAACCGCAGUAAAACUUUAAACCUGUGACUGACAACGUAGGCCUUCACUCAUUUAUUGUGAACAGACUUGUUGGUUGAGGUCAAAGGGGAACUGGGGAGACGUCGUCUUCAUAUUAGGGGGGCCUCAUUUUUUGAAAUACAUCUAGUCUCUCAAAAGAAGACCAGAAGGAUAGGGUAUUACUUCCCAUUAAUUGGCAGGUGGGUGGAGAGGGACACUCAUUCAACGUUAGCUUGUAAUAUAGGCAGGAAGUCCAUUCUUAAGAAACCACAGCACAGGGAGACAAUAUACCUUACCAGGCCCUUUUAAAGACAGCAGCUUGUGUCUAAAGAUUAUGUUCUCCCUCUCCUGUGCAGCUGUCUCUCCUUUGUUUAGGUAGAUUACUUUCAGCGGCGGGAGCUUCAGGCUGAAGAAUGCGGGAUGUUCUCUCCCCUCGGGUCCUGAUGGACUAUGCAGGUUUGGGAAUCAGGAGAGAAAUUGGUGGCUGAAAGAGAGGGACACUGCGACUGGAGAAAAAUAUCAGGACACUCGAUAGGAGAUGUAAUGGAACUGUCUUUUCUUCCUUUUCAGUCUCAGUACAAAGGCCCUGGUAUGAGAAGGGAUAGGAGAUGGGAGAUGUGAGGUGGGCGGCCAGUGUGGAUUGCCGUCUCCCUUUACCGGAGGAAGUGGAUCUGCGUGUCCGAUCCCAACGUGCAUAAAGCUGUCAAACACCAAUUGAUGGUGAUGAACAACCUCUGGUGAUCAGGGAGAGUGAUGACUGGUUUAAAGAUAUAUGGGAUGAAUGAUGAUUGAGCAGUCCAGGUGUGAUAUCCUUCAUUCAAAGACAAUGAUAUAGACUCAAACUGCCAUUACGCACAGCUAAAUGUUCACUCUUUCAAAUGCCAUUUGCUAUUUGCCUUAGAAAUAAAUAUGUAAGGCACAGUACAGAAAUAGGUUCUGGCAAAAACAUUAUAAAUCUAUAGAUACAUCAUUUACAUGGUUUAUUAAUUGGAUGUUGACAUGUUUGUGGCAUCAGAAUGAGUCAUAGGGGAGUUAAAAAUGAUUAAACCCUGCCUAAAUGUCAAAUCCCUCCAGCUCUGAAUGUAACGUACUGUUGUAAUAAUGUUUAUUUAUGAAGCCCGGCCAUGAUCAAGGCUCAGUUCGGGUUGUUUAUUUCACUUUCAGAAUCUUUUUGUCUCUGUAAUGGCUCAUUACGGCCAUAUGUUGUUCCUAAACCCGAAGUUCUAGAGCAUUCUUCCUUAUUUUGUUUUGCGCACAUUGCACCCAUUAUCUGUUUCCACUAAUUCCUGUCGAGAGCAAUGCCCUUUUGCCUUGCUCAUGCUCUCAAGACAAAGGUGAGUGAGUGUGGGUGGAGGGGGUUGUUGAAUGAAGGCCUUUACUCGUCCCCCUCCUGAGGGUGAAGGUGGACCCCUGGGGGCAGGAGUCCCACUACCCCUUUUAAGUGCUACUCGAGCUUCCUGCUCCGGCCGGCCUUUGUUCUGCUGUUGUGAGAACAGGGGCUGCACACAGAGCCUGGGCGCUCAAAGCAUGUGUUCUUCUAAUUUGCCUUGAUAACUGCCAGAUGAUGAGGCCAGGGCCAAGCAGUACACAGGGGGCCCUUAUUGGCUCUUCUACAGCUGCUGUGCUGGUGGUUGUGGUGGAGGGGACAGGAAGGGGUCCGUCUGCUAGAGUGGGACAGGGAGAAACCGGGGCUUCUAGAGAGCAGUUCCUGGCAAGACAACUCCACUUCCUGUGUCAUGGGAGCUAUCUGAGUCACCUACUCCUCUACAUCUCAGUCCUCCAUCGGCCUUAAUCAUGGGGUGCCCGCAACCAUGCACACGCCAUAUUCCUCACACAGCCCACCCGCCCUUCUCCCGACCGGCGACAUUACAGCUACCAGUCGG